Molecule: transfer-messenger RNA, 329 nt
Filed under: Syntrophaceticus schinkii
Lineage: Bacteria; Bacillati; Bacillota; Clostridia; Thermoanaerobacterales; Thermoanaerobacterales Family III. Incertae Sedis
Also listed under: 1 other name
Rfam family: transfer-messenger RNA
About the family: Bacterial tmRNA, also known as 10Sa RNA or SsrA, is named for its dual tRNA and mRNA-like properties. Its role is to liberate the mRNA from a stalled ribosome. To accomplish this part of the tmRNA is used as a reading frame that ends in a translation stop signal.
Source: Rfam by way of RNAcentral
ACUGGCUUCGACGGGGGAAUAAGGAGCAAAAGCAGCGAGCCGGGAUUCCAUCUGCCCGCAAUACGGUGGAAAAUUAUUAACUGCCAAUAACGAAUACGCACUGGCUGCUUAAUUAAGCAGCCCGUCCGCCUGGCCACGCCUGCGAGCCAGUAACGGGCGUCACACAGCAGGCUCACCCGCUUUCUCUUAAUCCCUGAAGAGACUGCCGGGAGCACCAUCGGGGAUAGCUGACAGGAAGCCUGCCGGUAGGCGUCCUGGAAGCGAAAUUAAACUGCCGGCUGCGCUCGGAGAGGCUUUUGUAGCCGUUCUUUCGGACAGGGGUUCGAUCA